UGCGAAGCAGUUCGAGGUAUUCGACAUCGAACUCCUCGCUGUUCAGGACUGCCAACGGAGAACAAUAGCCUUUUACUCCGAUGUAGUGUGCAGCUGAGCAAAAGAUGAUCAUCAAAUCUCCAAUUGGUGUGUGCUGGUAAAGAUGAUCAUCAAAUCUCCAAUUGGUGUGUGCUGGUAAAUGUAAGGAAAAGAUUUUUGUUUCUGGCCAGGCUUCAGAGUUCUUCAGAGUUGCUCCUACUGUAAAUGUAAGGAUGUAGCAAUGACAUUAAUGUGAUGAUUGAAGGA
Molecule: long non-coding RNA, 285 nt
Filed under: Oryza sativa (Asian cultivated rice)
Lineage: Eukaryota; Viridiplantae; Streptophyta; Magnoliopsida; Poales; Poaceae
Description: long non-coding RNA (OSAT_LNC001350)
Source: RNAcentral